This 460-nucleotide ribosomal RNA is filed under the name uncultured bacterium. Its description in RNAcentral is "partial 16S ribosomal RNA". It matches the Rfam family "Bacterial small subunit ribosomal RNA", at positions 338 to 795 of the family's 1533-position model. The record is from RNAcentral.
CCUACGGGUGGCAGCAGUGAGGAAUAUUGGUCAAUGGGCGCGAGCCUGAACCAGCCAAGUAGCGUGAAGGAUGACUGCCCUACGGGUUGUAAACUUCUUUUAUAAAGGAAUAAAGUGAGGCACGUGUGCCUUUUUGUAUGUACUUUAUGAAUAAGGAUCGGCUAACUCCGUGCCAGCAGCCGCGGUAAUACGGAGGAUCCGAGCGUUAUUCGGAUUUAUUGGGUUUAAAGGGCGCGUACAUGGGUUGUGAAGGCAGUUGUGAAAGUUUGCGGCUCAACCGGAAAAUUGCAAUUGAUACUGGCAGCCUUGAGGACAGUUGAGGUAGGCGGAAUUCGUGGUGUAGCGGUGAAAUGCUUAGAUAUCACGAAGAACUCCGAUUGCGAAGGCAGCUUACUAAACUGCCACUGACAUUGAUGCUCGAAAGUGUGGGUAUCAAACAGGAUUAGAUACCCGGGUAGUC